Molecule: long non-coding RNA, 12531 nt
Organism: Cavia porcellus (domestic guinea pig)
Lineage: Eukaryota; Metazoa; Chordata; Mammalia; Rodentia; Caviidae
Exons: 4
Source: RefSeq, a predicted model, not a curated record
AGGGGCGAUUUGCUCCUGAUAAACAGGCUGGGGUGUCCUUUCCUGAGCAGAGGGGCUGGGGGACCACCACGGCACUCUUUGAUACGGUCAUGGCCUCCCUGGGACUGUAGUGGCCCCGGCUGGGGGAGGAACUCUGGGUCCUGUGGUCCCAGCUGUUGAGCUCCAGAUCAUGCUGGGAAAACGAAAUCGACAAAGAGGAGCAGGUUCUGGGCCUGUCACCCAGAUUAACGAGGGGCCUCGCCAGCAUGACGUACGUAGCACGAGCGAGAGAACUUGGAUGCUCAGCCCAGAGAAAAGAUGCAGGGAACAUGUCAGCUGUCACAAGAGGAAGGAUAACUUGGCUCAGUGUGCCCUACCAAGGGCAGGUGAUCCGUGGGGGAGACAAAACCAAUCAACAACGAGUAAGAUGGAAAGUCUCCAUGCCCUGGAAGAAGGGAUGAGCUGCUCAGGAUGCUGAUGGGCUCCAGAACUUCCUAAAAGGAUUUCAGAUGCGGGAAGGAUAGUGAGGAGGAAUUUAAACAUCCCAACUGGUACCAAGCACCCCACAGCAUGGCAGUGCAGGAGAAGGGACCAGAAGGCGAGGGACUUCUGCAGUGUCAGCUCCCUGAGCUAUGACUGACGACGUGAGCCUGCAGUCUCCACAGGGCCUGCCCCACGCAGAGCCAGGGAGGUUCCAGUGAAGCGAGCAGAUUGAAGGCUGAAGAUCUGGGGUCCCCAUCCCUGGCUGGGUCCUGCUCCUUCCCAGCAUGUGAGUCGUCUUCUAGUUGAGGCUUGUGGCUGGGGAUUGGGACCACUAAACAAGGUGUUUUGCCAAAGAAAGAAUUCCGUGUGUGGAUACAUCUGGGGAAUUAGACCCACUCGAUUAGCCCUUACUCUCAAGCCGUACAAGCCAACUCACCUAAUUUAAAUUUAGAAAGGAACUAUUCUAAGGGCCCAGAGUAGCUCAGAUAAUCUCCUGGAGAGUCAAGAAAUUAAGGUCAGAAACAAAAUAGCCAAGAGCAACACCCAAAGUCACACUGUAAGACUUGUCCCUGGGAGACCCUAUGUCUGCACAGAUACUUUGACUUGGGCUACCAGCUCUGCCUGCCCUGGAGGCCCCUCUAAAAUGACUGCCAAAAUAUCCUCUGGAUACAUACUGUCACUGCUGUCACCCCUACCCUUGCCUCUGUGCAGUGGGCUUUGCAGAGAACCUGCCUCUUCAUAUUGGGUUCAAACCCUGAGUCUGGAGUGAGGUCAUGGACCCGUCUCCUUAGCUGCAAGAGAGGCGGGAACAAGAAGAUUGUUUUUAGCUUCUUCACUUUACCUCAAGCACAGGAGGGAAGAACAGGUCCCAGGUGAGUGAAAAGAAUGAUCAUGUUAUCUACACUGUGGCCCUAGACCCUCUCCCUUGGGAGUUCACAAAGUUCUAGAACAAGGAAGUCUGUCUCAGCACUGUUGAUGUUCUGGGGGACACUAUCUUGGUGGGCUAUCCUGGAUGCCAUAGGACAUUUAGCAGCAUGCAGGCCUCUACCCACUGUACCCAAUACUGUAGCAUUCUGCCAGUUGUGAAAGCUAACAAUGUCUAAAUUCAUUACCAAAUGUCCCCAGGGGGACACAUUCAUCUUUGGUUGAGACUCAUCAUCUGGAGAUCUUCAGGAAAAUUUGCAAUACAUUUCAGGGACCAGUAUUGGUUUAACCUACUUCCCCAAACUGAUUUGACCAUGGGAAGUAUUUUUCUCUAACUGAAGCCUCCCUGAUUUUGUUUCACAAAAUUUAUUUUGGGAAACACUGGGCUGGUAACUGGGGACGUGGCUCUAGGAGUUCUGUGGUGUGGUAGGAGACUGCACAUGUUUCAGCAGCUCCUGUCAUCACUUUCCCCACAUUCCUGAACAGUCUGGAAUCUCCUGGACGACCAGCUUUGUGAAGACCCAGAUUCUAGGGAGUUGGUUAUGAUUCUGGGAAACAUUCCCAGGGUCCAGAGGAGGACCCCAUAGAAUUUCAUUUAGAUUGAAGGGACAUCCUUUUCCUCUUGAGUGUAAACUUGCCCUGCAGGCAGAGUUAGUACCCUAACAAACAGGAACAGAGCCUUGGGAAAAGCCUCCUGCCAUGGCUGUCCACUGUGACCUUCUGCAUGAUUUGGCAAAGACCUCACAAAACUCAGGCAGAUGUCAGCCCAGCUGGUCUCCAAUGUGUGGCCCAGCCACCCUGUCAGUCUUCCAUACAUGCUUACCAGGUUGAGGCCCUUGUUACUGCCCAAGGAAUGCUCCUGACAUUGGGCCAAGUGCAUCUCCCCAGCCCCGAAGUCGUCCCUACCACUGUGAUGAGUGGACACAGGCCCCUGAUGGGUGGGCCACCCCCGCCAGGCCUUGUCUUUGAGAAGGAGCUGUUAGGAUUGCUGCUGCAAACCCGGAAAGAUACAAGUGGAGAAGCAUGUUUCUACAUCCUUAGCUGUCCAUUCUGUGACCUGGAAGUCCCCUAAAUUGAGGGCUUAGCUCUUCCCUACAGCUUCAUUGUUUGACCCCCUUUGUGUGGCUACGGUGUCUGCCACUGACCUUGGCCUUUAACCUUGGGAAACUGACCCAGCGGAAGUAGACCCAGAAAGUUGUGCUUGAUCUACUCUGGGCCUAUCACCUUGCUCUAUGAUGGUCAGUUUCAUUGGCAGCAUAGAUUUUUUAAACAGUUCUCCCUUGUGUUUUAGGUAGCGACAAGAGGCUCCUGGGUGGUAGAAAGUAGGGCCCCCCACAGCUUCCCUGAGAACUGAGUGUCCCCAUGCCCUGGGCCCCAGGGUGUAUCUUCAUGGGACAGAGGAGACAACUGGAGUGGAAAAAAAAAAAAGUCCUGAAAAUGCCUUGGAUCCCAACCAGCCAGAAGAUGCGCCAAUGGAAAAUUCCUGCUGUGUGUCAGAGGCCCACCUGGCCCGGGUGACAGCCAGCCAGACGCACAGGCCCCAAAGCAUGUUUAGACAGCACUUUCCUGCCCUGGCCAGAGUUUCCCCUGGCCCUCACCAACGCUUCUCCUGGAAAGUGGGCUGGGCUGCUCAUCUGGGUCCAGAAAAGCUGUGUGUGUCUCAGGUUCCAGGUUCUAGGAGAGACACAGUGAGCUUUGAUAGGAGGACUGGGCAGGAGGAGGCUUGGGCCCAGCCCCUGUCUGCCUGAGCCUGUCGGUGGGACCCAGAAGUAGCUGCAGCCCCUCUGUGGGUCUUGGACUCCCCAUUUGGGUAGCACAUGGGUAGACAGGGCCAACCUCACCAGUCUUGACAUCCUUCUGGAGAAGAUCUAUGGGCUCUAAGGGACUCCGCUCCUUCAGGAGAGGUCAGACAGAUCCAGAGCCUUCGGUCAUCCAGAAAUCUUUCUUGCCCCUGGGGACCAGGCCUAAUAUCACAUUGUUAAUCCUUGAAAUCCUAGGACGUGGGCUAGGAAUGUGGCUCGGUGGCAGAGGGCUUGCUAAGCAUGCAUGAGGCCCUAGGUUCAAUCCUCAGCAUUGCAAAUACAAUAAAAUUAAACUAAAGGAAGAGAGAAAUUCUAGGAUGCUCCAGAAUCAGAGUCAGCCGUGCUGGGUGUGUGCAGGUUCUGAGAAGCAACUGACACCUUCUGGCCAUGUCACAGAGCAGGACAUGGCUUCAUGGUGCCCUGGGCCCUGCGGCAGGGCCCUUCUGCUAUGCUGCUUGAGUAUCAGGAGGGGGAGGUUGAGCCUUGAGUGUCCUGAUGGCGUGGGAUGGGAAGCAGCUUAAUCCGAAUGGAUCUGAUCUGAGUGGAAAGAUGUUGAAAAUUGUCAUUUGGUGACUGACUUACUUUCUCAGUGCACAGCUGCGGUCUCAUGGCUCAGUUUGCAUCCUGGGAAGCAGGAUUCCAGCCGCCCCAGGAAGGGUUCUGGUUUCUGGUUUCUGCUGAGCUUAAGCUCAGGGAAUGAGGUGGAAGCAAGGGACUGUUUUGCAAUGCAGAGUUAGGAGGCUGGGGACAGAAGCCGAGGACACUUCUGUCUGCCUUUGGCUACAGACCCUUUGGCAAAAGGAGGUGGGGCAAGAACCCCAGUUUAUGGCACAAAACGCAGCCACGUUGGUUGGACCUACAAAGGAAUUGUGGGUGUUGGUCUCUGGCUUUAACACGUGAGACCACUGAGGCCUGAUGGGAGGGAUACAAAAACUUACAUUUCAGGUCCAAGUCCAUUUCCCUAAGAGCCCAGGCAGUGCCCCUCAGCCUCAGGGAAAGAAGAGAAGGACAUGGCGCUCGCUGGCAACAGACAGGCUUGGUUCUGUCCUGGCCCUGUCUGAACCGGCUGCAAAUUGGGCCUGUCUGAAAGUCAGUUUUUAUGAAUCAAGUGGGCACAAUGAAGGGUGCCCUAGAACCGGCUCAUUCCAGCUCCGAAAACCACCUGUGUGCGUUGCUUCCCAGCCUGUAUUCAGUAGCUCAGAAUGGGCCAGGGCAGAACUGUGGUCACCCCAGAGAUGGACAAGCCCUGCAAAGCGAACCUCUCCUCCCUGUGGGCUGGCUGCCAAGCACUGACCAGUGAGCACACCCCUCGAAAUGGUUCUUUCUUUAUAAGACUAAGCGCUGAGUUCUAUAAAGCAUGGAAAGUUCUUACUGUGAUGCCUAGUCUGAGGCAGAGGGUCACGCACCAUCACCAAGAAUAACGUUUUUAGGUUUCCUGCAACUUUAUUAUGUUUUAGUCCUGUAUUCACUUUGGAAACUAACUUGGGCAAGACUUGUUUUCCUCUGUCGCAUGGAUGCAGACCGUCAGUCCCAGAGGAGAACUGUGAGACUGAGCAUGCAGCAGAGCCGUGGGGAGACAGGGUCUGAGCUUGUGUCCAUGUGAGGCUCUGUCUGGGCUCUGGCAGCCUCUCUCCCCCAGAGCAGGUGACCUGUAGUCUGAGAAAUUGGAAGAUCCUAGUGCCUCAAGUAAUAGUAGGGACUUUAUGUCAGUGGUGCAAGCCUCUCCUGUUCCAGAUGACAUGGUGGCCUGGGAAGGUCACUCAAGGUCACAAGUCAAUUAUGUUGCCAAGAUAGACUUUGGGUUGUAGCUCUCUGGGUGCUCCAUCAACAUCUCUCUCCUCUGGACCGAACUACCACUAGAGCCCUGAACAGGAGUGAGAUUGUCCUACCCAGACAAUGUGGCUACUGCCAGUGGGAAGGGGAGGGGACUGCUUACGGAAGGUCACCACGUGUCCACCCUAGGAGGACCCAAAUAUAAAUAAUGCAAACUUCUCUGUUGCCUCACCAAGCUGUGUAAUGCUUUCUUGUAAGUCACCGACAUUUUGUCAAUCAGGAAACACUGAGACGGUCCUGGGGCGGAUCUUUGGACCUCUUUGGGCCUCUGUGGACAAAAGACCUCUGAGACGAUGGGCCAAGGCUAGACCCAACUUUAUAAUCUCUAAGAACUCCUCUCCAUGAUCCUUCCUUCCCUCCUUUCUGCCCCCAACGUUUCUCUAGAGAAUCUCCUUGGUCUACUAGAAGCUACUUUGCUGCAAAUUCCAGAAAUGCUUUGACAUUUCCGUUCUUGGGCGCCGCUUAACCAGUGGUUGAGGGUGUGGGAAAGCUGGGUGACCUCCGGGAUCCUGCAGGCGGGGCAUUUGCUUAUGUACUCAUCUGUUGAUGGGCAUACGGGCUGCUUCCAGGAUUUAGCUGUUAUGGAUUGUGCUGCUGAAAACAUUAUGUGUGUAUCACUGUCGUAUCACGUCUUGAACUCUUUGGGGAAGAUGCCAGUUUUAAUUCUUUGAGAAAUCUCCGUACUCAUUUCCACAGUGGUUGCACUCAUUUACAUUCCCACCAGCAGCGCAGGAGGGAUCCUGUCUCCCAUGGUUACACCAGCAUUUGCUAUUGUCUGGUCUCCCAAUGGUUGUCAAUUUCUCCAGAGUAAGGUGAAAUUCUAGGGUGGUUUUAAUUUGCAUCUCUCUAAUGAUCAGAGACACUAACUAUUUUUUUUCAUAUAUUUUUUGGCCAUUUGUAUUUUUUCCUCUGUGUCUGUUCAUUUCUCUGAUCUAUUUCUUGGUUGAGUCUUUAACGUUAGGUGGCUUGAUUUUUAUGAGUUCUUUGUAUAUUCUAGAUUAAUAGUCCUCUGUCUGAGCAGUGGCUGGCAAAAUUUUUUCCCACUCUGUAGGUUUUCUCUUCACCCUGCUGAUUGAAUCUUUUGCCAUAUAGAAACUUUUUAGCUGGUACAAUAAUGCCAUAUGUUGAUUCUUGCUGCUAUUUCCUGUGUGAUUAAGAUUCUGUUUAGAAAAUCUUUUCCUCCUCUGAUGUCAAGUGUUUACCCAUUCUGUUUUCCGGAAGGUUUAAUGUUUCUGUCUUAAUGUUUAGAUCUUUGAUCUCUUUUGAUUUUAAUUUAAUAUAUGAUGAGAGAUAAAGGUCCAAUUUCAUUCUUUUACAAAUGGAUAAUCCGUGCCACUUGUUGAAUUUUCUCAAUGCUAUCUUUGCUCCAACAUAUGCCUGGAUCCUUUGUCAAAGAUCACAUAGUUGAAUGUGUCUGGGGAAAUUUUUACCUCCUCUCUUCUGUUCCAUUGAUCCAUGUGUCUGUUUUUGUUCCAGUACCAUGCCAUUUUUAUCACUGUUGCCCAAAAAAUAUUCUGGGGAAGGACGUCUCUCAAUUCCCACAAUGACCUUGUGAAAUACAAAUGAUCAUCCCCAUGUUACAGACAAGUCAGGAGUUUUAAAGAAGCUUAAUGGCUUGUCCAGGGGGAUAAAGACCACCCUGAAACAGCUAGAGCUGUAAAUUUUGCUCUGUGACUAUAAACCAAGCUUAGGCUUUUAAACCAAACUAUGUAUUUGCCAUUUCUGAAAUAUCUCAGGAUUAUUAAAAAUUAAUUUUUUAUUUGAGGAAUUUUUUGUACCUUCUCAGUACUGGAGAAGCUCUCUUUUUGCAAAGAAAUUAGCCCCCCGCCCCACACCACCACAAUCCCACCCUGAAAUGACCUUUUGAGCCCCUCUGGUCCCCAGAUUUCUGAUGGCUCUUUCUCAUGUUUCCAUUCUCUCUUCCCCGGAAUCCUUUAGGCAGCCCACAGUGGGCUGUUGGUCUGGUCCAAAGCUCCAAAAGGUUCUCCAUUACUGCUUUAGGCUAGGACUUUAUUUUAUUCUUUGCUUCCCUAGCACCUAACCUGAGCCAACUGGAAGCCAGCAAUACGUCAAUGUUUGUUGGGCAAAAGAAAGGGGGGAUGAAGAAGGAGAGAAAUAGGAGGGAAGAGGAGGAAGGGGGAGACGCGGAAGUGAGGAGGAAGAUAUUCUGGACCAAGGGAACAGAGGGCCAAACCCCUGUGGACAGGGGCAGCCGUGGUGGAGGGGUGGCCGCUGCAGUCAGGGCGGGACACACAGGUCCUCCCGUGUGGUGGCCUCGGGACAUCUCUGACCAGUUGUUCUUUUUGCUCUGGGUCAUGUUGUGGGUAGAACUAGGAUGUAUCCUGGUACCCAGCAGCCAGCUGGUACCUAGCAGGGGCUUGAUAAGGGCUGAGUGGAUGACAAGUGACAAUGGAGUAUGAAAAGGAGUCCCGGUGGCCCCUCCCCAGCCUCCCCCCUCUUCUCCCCUGGGUUCAGGCAUCACCUGUGUCCUCGAGCAUCAUUUCUCUUGAGGCUGCUGCUUGAAUGAGCUUCUGCAAAAGGACCCGCCAUGUCUCUCCGCUCCUGGUUUAACCAAUCUGGCUGUUUACACAGUAAACUCAGUCUCCAUGGUUCAGCGUAGGAGGCUCUUCCUGAGUGUGGAGUGAUAAGAAGAUGGAUGGGCUGAAGGACCAGAUUGCCUGGGCGAGAGGCCCAUCUGCAUUACUCGCUGGCCAUUUGGCCUUGAGAAGCUCACAGAGCCUCUCCUUAACUAUGUUGUCUCACUUGUAAAAUGGGGAGGAUGGCAGUCGUUACGUAACUGGGAUGCUGUAAAGAUUCAGUCAGUUAGCACUGGGGAGAGUUUUGGGCUCACCCAUUACUCAUCAAGUGAAUGUUUCUCUAGCUGAGUCUGUUACCAUUCCUGCACCACCUCUGACACCUCGUGUCACCCCAAGUCCUCUCAUGCCUGGACAUCUUGGUUCAUGCCAUGCUUCUUGGAACACACUGUCCCCACCACCGUCACUGACAAAAUCAUAGUAAUCUUCCAAAUCCCAGCUCCCUCUGUGUCUGUGAAGGUGUUUCUGAUUCUCCCAGGAUGCACUGGGGGCUCUCUCCUGGGACCUCUGGAUUGGGCACUUAGGCAAUACCCUUCCUCUGUUGAAAUUGCCCGUUGACAAGUCUGUGUGUGAUCAAACUCCAGCCUCUUCCCAAGCUCUUUAGCCAAUUCCCAAUACAGAUGACUCCUGGUGAGGAUCCAAUAUUGUAGAGACAUAAAUUCUUCUAAAAUUAAUCUAUAAAUUCAGCAAAAUCCCAAUAAAAACUUAACAAGAGUUCUAAAAAUAUAAUUUUAUAAGCUAAUUCUAAAAGUCAUGUGGAACGGGGCAAUGGAGAAGGAUAGUAAAGCAAAUCUUAAUACAGUUAGGAAAAUGAGAGAAAACAGUCCUACAAAUAUGCACUGACUACAAAGCGAUCAGUACAGGAUGAUUGUGUAAAAAUGGAUGAUCAGUGGAAUACAGUUACAAAAGAACAGGUUUGUGGAAUCUAUGCUUGGUCCUCUCUGAAACUCAUGCUGAAAUUUACCACUGUGGCAGUGUUGGGAGGUGGAGCAUUUGGGAGGUGAUUAGGUCAUCAGCAAAUAUUAACAUAUCUGGAUUAGAUAUCCAGAGAGGGCUGCUAUCACACGAGGCCCAUCAGUGUGUUCUUCCUCUUCAGCACAUACCUGCUUCCCUUUCUGACUUCUGCCAUGGCCUAAAGCAAUCUGGGGCCCUCAGUGGCAGCCGAGGUGCUAACAUCAUGCUCAGGGAGGUCUCAACCUCCAGAUAAAACCCUUUUCUUCCCAAAUUACAAUCUCGGGUAUUCUGUUACAGCAACGGAAAACACUCAGUAUGCACGCAGUCAGAAUUGUGGGGAGUGUGGAAGAGAAAGUGUUUAGGUUGGGCUUUAGAACAACUUCCAAAGUCAUAGCACAGGACUGAGCCACUGGAGGAGAUGCUGGUGCCUGCACUGCAGUCUGCAAGCCCCCGGAGAAGAGGAGGGAGCCGUGAUACUGUUCUGGAAUCACAGCACCCCAGUCUGGAUCUGUGCUGGUGGAAUCGGGGCUGCGCUGCCUUGGUCUCCUCAGAACUCCCAGCCUGAUGUGAGCUGUAACCACUUUAAUCCUGCAGGAAGCAGACACCACCAUGGAGUCAACUGGGCAAGAUGUGUGGAAGGAUAAUGCAUGUAAGAGAAAUAUAAAGAGGAAAGGUAUCAAAAAAAAACAAAACAAAACAAAACAAAACAAAACCGGAAGCUUUCCAGUGGUGACAAAGCUCUGAUACCUGUGAAAGGCAAAAGAAAAUGAAAGAAUGUGGGGUAGAAAACAGGAAGAGGGAAGAAAUGGCCAGGCACUGCUUUUAACUCUAUGCUCAGUCAUGGUGCUAAAGGCAUCUGAACGGGAAAUUACCGUCACAUCUAGAAUCUUAGCUUCAAGGAUGUCUGCUGUACAGGAAGAUGUACCAGGUAGACAUUGGUAAGAAUAUUGUUUUAUUUAUUUGUUUGGUACCUCACACUUGCCAGGCAGGUUCUUAUGCCACUGAGCUAAACCCCUGGCCCUCAUGUGAAUAUUGAUUGGACAAUACGUUGUAUCUAACUGCCACAGAUCCCUACCUUACAUCAUAUUCAAAAUAAAUUUCAUAUGGAUUAAAUAGUCCCAGGUGAACACAGAAAAACCUUUGCAAGGAUUAGAAGAACAGUAAGAAAACUCAGGGACAUAUUCAUAUAACCUUAGAGAAAGAUAAGGCCUUCUAUAAAAUGGCACAAAGUCUAGCAAGUAUAAAGACAUAUUUUAAAGUAUUUUAUUGAUUGUAAUGUUUUAAGAAGGUAAUUAAUGUUACCCUGCUCAGUGAUGAGCAACUAGAUGGUCUCCUCCAAAAAUCAGGAAUUAAAAAAAAGAUUUUGUUUCUCAUUGGUCAUGUUUUUAGCCAUCCUGAAAGCCCUGGCUAAUGCAGUAGGACAAGAAAAGGAAAUAAAAUGUAUACAGACCAAGAAAGAGAAAAUGACACUCUUCAUUUGUAGAUAAUAUGGUUAUUUAUGUAGCGAAUUCUCACAAAUCAACAAGAAACAAUAAGAAGGAAUAAAAAGUAGCAAAGUGCAGGACACAAGGUGAGCAUACAAAUUCAAUUGCUUUUCUGUAAACCAGCAACAAUAAAAUUUAACACUGAAACCACAACACCAUUUAGGAGAGAGAGAUUGGAGGUUGGCUUAGGUACAAAUCUAACAGCAUAUGUGUAAGCUCUAUAUGAAGAAAAUCACAGCACUCUGUUGAAGGAAAAUCUGUAAACACAAUAUUCCAUGUUGUGGAAGGAAGAUUUAAUGGUGUCUAGACAUCAGUUUUUCCCAUCUGAUGAACAGAUUCUGUAGAACAGCAAUCAGAAUCCCAGCAAAUCAUUUUGUGGAUUUCAACAAACUGAUUGUAAAACCCCCUAAAAUAACCAAUACAAUACUGAAGAACAAGGACAGAGGACUGACCCUGACUCCGGCGAUCAACGCAGUAUCAUACUGAUGAAAGAAAAACAGACAAAUAAGUUAAUGGAAUAGAAAAGAGAGCCUGGAAACAGACCCUCACCCACAGUCACGUGACCUCUGACAAAGGACAAAGGUAAUUCCAAGUCUGUGAAAAACACUGUUAUGAAAAGGAAGAGACAAGUUACAGCCCGAGAGAAAAUCUUUUCAAAAUACAUAUAGGAUUUAAACAUGUAUAUCUUAAAUAUAUGAAUGAGUCUCAAAAGACUGGGGUUGUAGACGGGUCCUAGAGCCCUUGCCUAGCAGCCAUGAGGGUCUGAGUUCCACCUCGCUAUUAAAAUGUCCCGGUACCACUUUAAAAAUAGCACAAAUAUCUGAAUAAACAAACAAAAAAAGAUACAGAGGUUACAAAUAGGUAUACAGAAAGUACUUGGCAUCGUACGUCACUAGGCAAUUGCACACUAAAUUAGUGAUGGCACUGGUGCACUCUUCAAGGAGCUGAAAUUCUAAAUGCUGGCAAUAGCACAUGGUGGCAGGAGAUGGGCGUCAGGAGCUGUCACGCACUGUGGAAACGCACGUGGCACUGUAGAAGAUGGUUCCUACGAAGUGACAUGUUCAGGUGACCCUACACAUGGGCUGAGCCCGUGAUCUAACAAUCGUACUCUUAGGCAUUUGUCCAAGUGAUCUGAAAGCUUUGCUCAUGCAAAAACCCAACACAAAUGUCACAGCAGCUUCUUAAUUGCUGACAAUUGGAAGCAACUAAGAUAUUCUACCAUAAGUGAGUGAAUAAACAACCAGGGGGUGUAGGAACAAUGGAAAUUACACAUCAAUAGAAGGAAAGAUGCCACCAAGCCCCAAGAAAUCACGGAAGAAACUCGGGUGUGUGCCAAGUGAAACAGCCUGUCUGGAAAAGGCUACAUGCCCAUGACUCGCACGAUAGGUCAGUGCGGACAGGGAGAAGCUAGAGGAACGUGAGGGUCAGUGCUUUGCGGGGAGUGAAACGGCUGACCAAACGGAGCACAGGGUGUUUUUAGGGUGACAGAGCUAUUCUGUAGGAUACCUUAAUGGCAGAUACAUAUUUGUCAAUACCCACAUAAUCAUACAACACAGAAAAUGAACCCUAACAUAAAUCAUGGGUUAUAAUUAAUAACAAUAUAUUGAUACUGGUUCAUUAAUGUAACAAAUCGAUCACAAUAAUGCAAGAUUUUAAAAGUAAGGGAAAAUAUGUGGGGGCUAUGUGGGGGCUACAAGGGACAGAUGGAAACUAUACUUUUCUGCUGUAAGAGAGAAUCUGAUACCACUUUAAUAACGGCUGUUAAAACAACAGUAAUUAACAUAUUUAGAUGUAAUUAGAAAUGAUACUAACAGAGUAACCACUCAUUCUGGUUUUCUCAGGACACUUCUAGGUAAUAUUUGUUACUCUGGAAUCCCAUCUGGAUUACUAUUUGCCACUCUCAAAAGUAUAUUGGGUUGGAUGAUAAAUUACGUGGUCAUACUGGAGAAAAAGAUAUUUGUGCUGUUAUAUAAAGAAGUCCUAUAGAGAAAAAGAAAAAAGGUAAACCAGAAAAAAAUAGGCAAUGUAUAUAAAUAAGUCUCAGCAUUUAGCCUACUUAUAACUAUGACUAAAGGGAGGUUUUCUGGGGUUUUUUGGUAAGAAAUGUAUCGUCAGAUCAGUUUAAAGAAAACAUUCAAUCUAUGGCUUCUAAUUGAGGGGUUUAGACAAUUUACAUUUAAUUUUUCAUUCCAGUGCUUGGAGUAGCUAGAUUAAUGUAGUUCAAAGCAGAUUUCAGAGUAAGGAAUAUUUCUAAAGAUAAAGAAGCUCACUUCAUAAAGGAUCCGAUUCAAGAGAACAUCGUGAUACAAAUGUACUGUGGCAGACAUACAGACAAACAAUGGGAAGACAUAGACCAACCUAUGAUCACAGUCACGGACUGCAAACCUUCAUGUUCUUAUCUCAUAAUUUUCUAUUCUUGUUAAAUGUUUCUAUUCUUUUAUCUCUUUAAAUGCUUGAUUAAAUGGAAAGCCUUUUUCA